GCCCGAGUGGCGGAAUUGGUAGACGCAGGGGACUCAAAAUCCCCCGACCCUAGGUUGUGCGAGUUCGAGUCUCGCCUCGGGCACCA
This 86-nucleotide transfer RNA is filed under the name Albidovulum sp. RNAcentral's name for it is "tRNA-Leu". It matches the Rfam family "tRNA". Rfam says of the family: Transfer RNA (tRNA) molecules are approximately 80 nucleotides in length. Lineage: Bacteria; Pseudomonadati; Pseudomonadota; Alphaproteobacteria; Rhodobacterales; Paracoccaceae. The record is from RNAcentral.